GGCAAUACUCAUAACAAAAAUACUUAAAACAUUACACUUCCACUCACAACCUGGAACAGAACCCAGGAAUUGUGCGUCUCAGCAGCUUGGACCCAUAAAGGGUAACACAAACAGAUCCAAUGUGAUUGCAAGGACCAAGGGAUUCCGUCUACAUGGCAGAAGAUAUAAAUGGUCCUGGAAACCCUUCAUUUUGUCUGCAAUUCUGCUUCUUACCUCUGCAGGAACUUUGCUACAAACUGAAGCUCCAAACAAAGGACAGAAGUACCCAUCAAAGCUGUGGGAGUACUUCAGAGAAUCAGCUUAAGCCGUCAGUUUUUCAUCUCUGCUACAAGCCUGAACCAAGAACUUGGCAAUUCUUGUAUAUAUUUGAUUCCUUUACCAAUUUCAACUUUCACAUCUCUUUCUUUUAUGAAUAAACCUUUAUAUUUUAGGUACGUACCCGACUGGCAUCAGAGUGACUUUGAGAAACACGCUUGGAUUCCAGAUUAAAGUUCGCUAAUAUAUUGUAAGAAUUUAAAUUGACAAGUGCAUGAACAAGAACAACAACCAACAAAUCCAACCCCCACCCCAAAACAGAAGAGAACAAAGACAGAAAGAUCCCCAAUAUAGUCACUGAUGACAAUCACCAUUUUAAGUGUGCAAUUUACCAAAAUUCUGUACACAACAAUGGCACUAAAACUGUUAUGAACAGCUCAACAUUAUAAAAUUAGAGUACCUCUAACAGUGGGUACCUCAUGACCGGAGGAAAGAACAUCAAUAGUUCCCAAUGAUGCUGAGCUUGUAGAGGACAGCCUGAGAGAGAGCCAAGUGCUUUUGAGAUACAGCAAGGGCUGACCCAGAUGAACCCAGAAGGAAUCCAAAGAGGAAGAGGGUAGGGGCGUUCAUGUAGGUGUACUAAUACUUACUUCUUUCCCUUUUCUCUCUCUUCAUGGUCCCUGAAACUCCACCCCAUAACCCUCCCCCUUCCAAAAAGUGUAAAGACAGAAGACACAGGGAUUGCUUUGUGAAUAGGGCUGCCAGUUUUGGGUGGAUGUAUUCCUGGAGG
Non-coding RNA from Pelodiscus sinensis (Chinese soft-shelled turtle), 1045 nucleotides. Lineage: Eukaryota; Metazoa; Chordata; Testudines; Trionychidae. The record is from RefSeq and is a predicted model, not a curated record.